This 253-nucleotide ribosomal RNA is filed under the name uncultured bacterium. RNAcentral's name for it is "partial 16S ribosomal RNA". It matches the Rfam family "Bacterial small subunit ribosomal RNA", at positions 524 to 776 of the family's 1533-position model. The record is from RNAcentral.
UACGUAGGGGGCGAGCGUUGUCCGGAUUUAUUGGGCGUAAAGGGCGCGUAGGCGGCCCGCUAAGUCGAACGUGAAAUCCCCGGGCUCAACCCGGGAACUGCGUCCGAUACUGGUGGGCUUGAAUCCGGGAGAGGGAUGCGGAAUUCCAGGUGUAGCGGUGAAAUGCGUAGAUAUCUGGAGGAACACCGGUGGCGAAGGCGGCAUCCUGGACCGGUAUUGACGCUGAGGCGCGAAAGCCAGGGGAGCAAACGGG